UGGUGCCAGCAGCCGCGGUAAUUCCAGCUCCAAUAGCGUAUAUUAAAGUUGCUGCAGUUAAAAAGCUCGUAGUUGAGUUUCGGGGUUAGUAAGUUGGUCAUGCCUCCGGUAUGCACUGGCUUUACUGAUUCCUCCUUCUUGAUGAACUGUAAUGUCAUUAAUUUGGUGUUGCAGGGAAUCAGGACUGUUACUUUGAAAAAAUUAGAGUGUUUAAAGCAGGCAUACGCUUGAAUACAUUAGCAUGGAAUAAUGAAAUAGGACGUUUGAUCCUAUUUUGUUGGUUUCUAGGAUUGACGUAAUGAUUAAUAGGGAUAGUUGGGGGCAUUAGUAUUCAAUUGUCAGAGGUGAAAUUCUUGGAUUUAUUGAAGACUAACUACUGCGAAAGCAUUUGCCAAGGAUGUUUUCAUUAAUCAAGAACGAAAGUUAGGGGAUCGAAGACGGUCAGAUACCGUCGUAGUCUUAACCAUAAACUAUGCCGACUAGGGA
This 486-nucleotide ribosomal RNA is filed under the name uncultured Glomeromycotina. Its description in RNAcentral is "SSU rRNA". It matches the Rfam family "Eukaryotic small subunit ribosomal RNA", at positions 562 to 1052 of the family's 1831-position model. Lineage: Eukaryota; Fungi; Glomeromycota. The record is from RNAcentral.